Molecule: small nuclear RNA, 106 nt
Organism: Trichechus manatus latirostris (Florida manatee)
Lineage: Eukaryota; Metazoa; Chordata; Mammalia; Sirenia; Trichechidae
Source: RefSeq, a predicted model, not a curated record
GUGUUCAAUUCAGCAACACAUAUAUUAAAAUUGGAAUAAUACAGAGAAGAUUUGAAUGACCCUGUGUAAGGAUAACAUGCAAAUUCAUGAAGCAUUCCAUAUUUUU